GUAAAAUUGUUAUAUGACAAGUCCCUACAUCAUAACAGUCAAUUUAUAUAAUAAGACAAUAGUAAGUUAAUCAGUAGCAUGAGAAAGUUUGUUACACUUCAUAGAAGCGUGUAAACUACAAAAAAAUAAAGUAAACGCACAAAACACUAAUUUUUAUGUGGUUCACCCUCUCCAUAUAGGGCUACAUUCACAGGUAUGCCAUCUUCCACUAUAAUCAAUAUAAUAAUCAUUUACAAGCUCAAAGUUGACCACAAAUCAUCCCAAUUACACCUAAGAGAUCCUUUUACAAACUGUUCAUAGUAAAUAUUAAUAAUCAUUUACAAGCUCAAAGUUGACCACAAAUCAUCCCAAUUACACCUAAGAGAUCCUUUUACAAACUGUUCAUAGUAAAUAU
Molecule: unclassified non-coding RNA, 394 nt
Filed under: Hevea brasiliensis (rubber tree)
Lineage: Eukaryota; Viridiplantae; Streptophyta; Magnoliopsida; Malpighiales; Euphorbiaceae
Source: RNAcentral